This 3871-nucleotide long non-coding RNA is filed under the name Capra hircus (goat). RNAcentral describes it as "lncRNA (ENSCHIG00010008285.1)". The record is from RNAcentral. Lineage: Eukaryota; Metazoa; Chordata; Mammalia; Artiodactyla; Bovidae.
CUGGAGGAGGGCAAGGCAACCCACUCUAGUAUUCUUGCUUGGAGAACCCCCAUGGACAGAGGAGCCUGGUAGGCUCCCCAGCCUGUACCCCUGACCUAACUCUCUGCUCCACUGCCACAUACACCCCACAAGUCCACUUUCAACACUAAACACAUUGUCUUCCCAGAAGACAAAACAGUAACAGUUUGAAUAACACCAGUCUACCUGGUGAAGACAGCACUGCCAGCCUGACUUGCAAAGUCACAGAGGGGAGGAAGUUGUUGAGGGAGAGCAGGUAGUGCUUCCGGGGAAAAGAGUGAAGGUGAGCAGGGUCUUGCGGAUGGAUGAGCAGAGGGGAUGAUAGGAGUAAAGACCCUCAAAGACCACGUCCUUCGUGCUUAGAUCGUGCUGGUGCCCCAACUAGGAACUGGUCUGGCCCUGGCUUCUGGAAGUUUGCAGAUGGCAUGAAGACUACAGUCCCUGAGAUGGGAGCUUAGAGGAGGGAGACCUUACGUCUGUCAGGGAAAUCAAGGAAGACUUCCAGGAGGUAGCAGUAACCUAGCUGAUUUCUGAGGGAAGAGUUAGAGUUCACCUGGAGAAUAGGGCUGUGGGGAAGGCUUGCCCAGCCAAGUGACAGGCUUGUGAAAAGGCAUGAAAAAGCCUCUCAUGUUUGGGGAACUACAAGUCAUUUGGUAUAGGUGGACCAUGAGCUGGGCACAGGCCCUGCUGAGAGUCAGGAUUUUGUUUUGGCCUGAGGAGCCAUGGAGGAAUUUGGGGCAGAAGAAUGACAUGAGUAGCCUUCCAUCUCANGACUCUGGCAUCCCCAGGAGAGCAGGCUACCAGGGAGGGGACAGCUGGGAUGGAGACCCGUGGGGCAACUAUUACAGUAGCUGGGCUUGAAGAAGGGCAGUAGUGGUGUAGAGGGCAGAUAGGCCCAGGAUGGGGGUGGGGAUGGAGGUGGGGGUGUGGGAGUUGGGGUAGGGACUCAGGAGGAGCCAGCAGAGGAGGUGGGUGGUGAGGAUGAAUGAUUUGGAAACUGGCUCCACCGUGGUGCUUUUGCCCGGAUAAAGAAAGAACACGUGAGGCAGAGCAGGUCUGGGAAGACAAUGUGUUUAGUGUUAAAAGUGGACUUGUGGGGUGUGUGUGGCAGUGGAGCAGAGAGUUAGGUCAGGGGAAGGGCAGUAGAGGGAGCCUCGGGUAGAAAGGCACCAUGAAAUACAAGGGGAGUGCUCUUUGAGGCACAAGAUAAAAAAAACCUGGGUCGCAGGAACCAGUGGGGCAGGAGAGACCUAGGAGGAAAAGCAGAUUCCCUGAGGGGCUCCUGGGAUGUGGCCACGGAUGUCCGUGGCAGGGAUGCAGCUCUGGGAGGAGGGGGCAGAAGCCAGGGGCUUGGGCAGCGAGUGGCGGACACAGUGAAACAGAGGGAAUCAAGGAUGCUCUAGACUGUGCGGCGCCUUGUGCGAGGUGGACCAGCUCGCUGACAGAGGGACGCGGGCGGCCUUGAGCCACAGCGGGGCACGUGCAGGCCUUGGUCCUGCGAGUGUGGACCAGCCCUUCUAGAAACUGACUGGGGAGGAAGGAGAGGAACGGUCAUUAACCAAGGGGGAUGCUGGGCCAGCGAGGGACUCAUUUUUAGGAUGUGACAGCCUGGUGCCAGCUGACUCAGAUGAGGGAGGAGAGUCCAUGAAGAAAGAGUACAGGACAGGAGCCUGCAGCCUGCAGGAAGCUGGGUGGCGGCCCUGGCAGGAGGGUCAAGGCUAAUGUUGUUGCCAUGAGUUUGGGGGGCUGGGCGCUGACGGGGAGCAGUGUUGAGCCUGGAGCCUAGGGCCCGUGUGUCAGUGGUGCUGCGGACAGGAGUUAGCUGAGAACCUCUGCUUUGGGGUUGGGGAGAGGAUGCCCAGAAGGGACACUGACCCUGCCUGUCCUGGGUCACCAGUGGUUCCAGUGCCCAAGAUUGGGUGACACACAGAACUGGGCAGGCCAGGCUGGAGAUGGUCUUGGCACAGAGCUUUGGUUUACUUUUUUUUUUUUUUUAAUUUGGUUGUGCAAGGAAGGUCUUAGUUGUGGCGUAUGGGAUCUAAUUUCCUGACCAGGGAUCAAACCCCAGCUCCCUGCAUUGGGAGCAUGGAGUCUUAGCCCCUGAUCACCAGGGAAGUCCCUUGUUUACUUACAAUUUUACUUUUUAUUAUGGAAUAUUUUUGAAUACACCCCAAAGUUGUGGGAAACUCAAACUCUCAUACCUAUCAUUUAGUUUCAACAGUUAUUACUAUUGGCAACAUUAUUAUCCCUUCUUUAAGUACCUUUUAAAAAUUAAAAAAAAAAAUAGAUGAUUUUUUAGAGNNNNNNNNNNNNNNNNNNNNNNNNNNNNNNNNNNNNNNNNNNNNNNNNNNNNNNNNNNNNNNNNNNNNNNNNNNNNNNNNNNNNNNNNNNNNNNNNNNNAUUAUUAUCCCUUCUCUAAGUACCUUUUAAAAAUUAAAAAAAAAAUAGACGAUUUUUUAGAGCAGUUUUAGAGUCAUAGCAAAACUGAGUGGAAGGAACAGAUUUCUCAUAUACUCCCUGUUAAAAACUUUUUUACUUGAUAAUAAUUUUAAACUUAUAGAACUUGCAAGAACAAGUUUGCUUAUUUUUAAAUAAUCUUUUUAUUAGAGAAUAUAUUCUCAGAAUGAAUACAGAAGAAAAUUAAGGUCCUCAUGACCCCACCACCCAGACAGAGGUACUGUUCUAGUUUUGUCGUAUUAGGCUGGCCAAGAAGGUUGCUUGGAUUUUCUCAUAAGAUGUUAAAAAUCCUGAACCAACUUUUUGGCCAAACUAGUAUUUUCUUCCAGUCUUUUUUCCAUGUUCAUACACAUAUUUUCAAUUGGACUGCUGAAUCUAGAGACUAACUGCCUUCCUGUCUUGUGUGUUAGCCCGAGGGCCUUCGCCCCCAAACCCCUGCACAGAGUGAGCUGAGAGCAACAGCAGUCCAUCUGAAUUUGUGAUGUGUGAUUGCCCUCAUUCCCUGGUUUCAGCUCAUUCCCUCCUCUCUGGCAUCCCUUUGCUCUUUGUUCUUCUUGGGUAACACUAGUAGAUUUCUGGUGGGAUGAGGUGCCCAGUGCUCCUUGGACCCCCAUCUCACCUGCCUCCCAUUCUCACCUCUGUGGAAUUAGGGCACCCGUGUCUGAGUCUUUCUUCCCCACUUACCUGAGAACUCUGUGAGGGCAGGGCUCAGAUCUGAUUCAUCACCCAACGUGAAGCAGAGUUAGCCUCAAGAAAUAGGUCUGGAAUGGAAUCAACCCUCUUCUUCAGCACUGCCCAUCCCCAUCUAGCUUCAGACUAGACUCAGAGCCUUACACACACUUGCAGCCACCAGCAUAGUGUGUGGCCCAGGGUAGGUGCUCGAUAAAUGGCUGUUACUGCUGCUACUAAUAACCUGGAGACUUCCCUCCGUGUCAGAGCUCCCCUGGCGUUUCCAUCUUCCCUUUCCUGCCUUCCCCUCCUUCUUCUGGAUGGGAAAGCAGAGACCACUUUGACACACCAGACGGAAGGGGCCACCCUUUGUCCCCUGUCUUCUAUAAGUCAGGAGCAAAGCUGAGUUGGCAGUGGAUUCCAAAGCAGCAGCUCCUGUGCUGAGGCUGUUUUAUAUGUUUGCAUUCCUCAAGAUACCAGUUAUCAUUAGCAGCAAUUAAAGCUAUUUUGGGAUCAGUUCAAAGCUGCCUUUGAGGUAUUUUAAGUUGGACAAAAGUCCUCCACAUGUCUAGCUUUAAGCUGAGUGUCCUGAUGUCAUUAGAAGCCCACUUGUACUUGGAGACUACAAUCUGUAUACUUUGAUUUUUGUGAACGUUUCAUAACUUUCAGGACUGUUUGUUAAAAGCGAGUUCACGUCUCCAGAGCUGUUUGGAUUACCUGAUGAGUC